UACGUAGGGGGCGAGCGUUGUCCGGAAUUACUGGGCGUAAAGCGCACGUAGGCGGGUUUACAAGUCGAUUGUGAAAGCCCCGGGCUCAAUCCGGGAAUGGCAGUCGAAACUGUAAGUCUUGAAUACCUGAGAGGGUGACGGAAUUCCUGGUGUAGAAGUGAAAUUCGUAGAUAUCAGGAGGAACACCGGAGGCGAAGGCGGUUGCCUGGCAGUGUAUUGACGCUGAGGUGCGAAAGCGUGGGGAGCAAACAGG
This 253-nucleotide ribosomal RNA is filed under the name uncultured bacterium. RNAcentral's name for it is "partial 16S ribosomal RNA". It matches the Rfam family "Bacterial small subunit ribosomal RNA", at positions 524 to 776 of the family's 1533-position model. The record is from RNAcentral.